Molecule: ribosomal RNA, 253 nt
Filed under: uncultured bacterium
Lineage: Bacteria
Description: partial 16S ribosomal RNA
Rfam family: Bacterial small subunit ribosomal RNA
Source: RNAcentral
UACGUAGGGUCCGAGCGUUGUCCGGAAUUACUAGGCGUAAAGAGCUCGUAGGUGGUUUGUCGCGUUGUUCGUGAAAACUCACAGCUUAACUGUGGGCGUGCGGGCGAUACGGGCAGACUAGAGUACUGCAGGGGAGACUGGAAUUCCUGGUGUAGCGGUGGAAUGCGCAGAUAUCAGGAGGAACACCGGUGGCGAAGGCGGGUCUCUGGGCAGUAACUGACGCUGAGGAGCGAAAGCGUGGGGAGCGAACAGG